UGAACGCUGGCGGCAGGCCUAACACAUGCAAGUCGAGCGGUAACAGAUCCAGCUUGCUGGAUGCUGACGAGCGGCGGACGGGUGAGUAAUGCAUAGGAAUCUGCCCGAUAGUGGGGGAUAACCUGGGGAAACCCAGGCUAAUACCGCAUACGUCCUACGGGAGAAAGCAGGGGACCUUCGGGCCUUGCGCUAUCAGAUGAGCCUAGGUCGGAUUAGCUAGUUGGUGAGGUAAUGGCUCACCAAGGCGACGAUCCGUAACUGGUCUGAGAGGAUGAUCAGUCACACUGGAACUGAGACACGGUCCAGACUCCUACGGGAGGCAGCAGUGGGGAAUAUUGGACAAUGGGGGCAACCCUGAUCCAGCCAUGCCGCGUGUGUGAAGAAGGCCCUCGGGUUGUAAAGCACUUUCAGCGAGGAAGAACGCCUAGCGGUUAAUACCCAUUAGGAAAGACAUCACUCGCAGAAGAAGCACCGGCUAACUCC
RNAcentral lists this ribosomal RNA (483 nucleotides) under uncultured bacterium. RNAcentral describes it as "bacterial SSU rRNA". It matches the Rfam family "Bacterial small subunit ribosomal RNA", at positions 30 to 504 of the family's 1533-position model. The record is from RNAcentral.